UACGAAGGGUGCAAACGUUGCUCGGAAUUAUUGGGCGUAAAGCGCACGUAGGCGGCUUAGCAAGUCGGAUGUGAAAUCCCUCGGCUCAACCAAGGAAGUGCAUCCGAAACUGCUGAGCUUGAGUACGAAAGAGGAUCGCGGAAUUCCCGGUGUAGAGGUGAAAUUCGUAGAUAUCGGGAGGAACACCUGUGGCGAAAGCGGCGCACUGGACCACAACUGACGCUGAGGCGCGAAAGCUAGGGGAGCAAACAGG
RNAcentral lists this ribosomal RNA (253 nucleotides) under uncultured bacterium. Its description in RNAcentral is "partial 16S ribosomal RNA". It matches the Rfam family "Bacterial small subunit ribosomal RNA", at positions 524 to 776 of the family's 1533-position model. The record is from RNAcentral.